GGACGGGUCAAGUAGAAGCUGAUGUGCUGGAUGGUCUUCGUCACCAAUAUUAUAAUCGGAAAAUUCUGGAAGAUCUUCCUUGUAUGCAAAACCUAGACACCUCAAUGCACUAGAUGACAUCUCACGCAAACAAUCUAAGAGGUAUCUCUUCGAGUCUGAGUCCAAAUUCACUAUAGUUCCAUCAAGAAGCUGAAUAAAUGAACUCCGAUCCAAAAGAUUUUCAACAGCACCCUUCACGAGUAAUGAUUUCUUCCCUGAGUUAGAAUUUGUGAUAACUCCCAUGGACUUGCGGUCUCGGUCAAACUCCAAAGUAGCAAUGCGUUGCUCAUUCUUAUUCCAAGUUUGGCAGCAUCGCAGGACAUCCCCAUUAACAGUAGCUGAACUUGAGUCAUAACCUUCAGGAAGCCCCAUCUUUUCCACAAGAACCUUCAAUGCUGCUUCAGUAGGCAUUCCAUUUGCAACAAAAUGAUGGCCAGAUCUUUCAACACCUGCAUCAUUACAGACUGCAGCAAU
Molecule: unclassified non-coding RNA, 513 nt
Filed under: Hevea brasiliensis (rubber tree)
Lineage: Eukaryota; Viridiplantae; Streptophyta; Magnoliopsida; Malpighiales; Euphorbiaceae
Source: RNAcentral